RNAcentral lists this long non-coding RNA (1421 nucleotides) under Homo sapiens (human). RNAcentral describes it as "HSALNT0080705". The record is from RNAcentral. Lineage: Eukaryota; Metazoa; Chordata; Mammalia; Primates; Hominidae.
GUAAGUGAAGGCCCAGUAGAGGGCGCUGGAGGAUCAGAGAAAGAGCACCAACCAGCCUUCCUGAAGCACUGAGAUGGGGGAUAAGUCAGUUUUCAGGGAAAUCAGAGAAGCUAGGUAUACAUCUGAGGACUCCAAAGGCAGGAGGCCCUGGCUCUGAUGCUUCUAAGGCAGAUGAAUUGGGUGCCAGUGGUGGGGGCGAGCAUGCAUUGGAGUGUUCCUUGUGGGCCAGAGGUGAGCCCCAAAGGAGAGAGCUGUUCUGGGGCCAUUCAAAUUCUGUCCAAGAGGUCUCUGCAAGAGAGCUGGAAGGACCACACAUGAGCAGCCUGUCUGAGAAAAAUCUGUUGCUGCUGUCUAGGAGCACGGACUAUUCUCUCAUGUUGAAUGUGGCACUUUUUACAUACAAGCAGGAGAGCAACUACACCAAGAUUUUGGAAAACAUGUUAUGUAAGGUUAAUUGUGACCUCUAUGAUGGGGAUAUGAUAAAGAAGAAAAGUACCUCACAGCGAUGAUUGGCAUGUGAUCACUUAGCCAAUGAGAUAAGAGGCUGUAGAAACGAUGUGAUAAUGACAUCUCCUGAGUUGCAGGUCCAUAUUAGAAGUGGAUAUGAAGUAAACAUUGAGCUUUCCUCACAUUUAAUUAACAAGCUUUAUUAUAGAUACAGCUCAAAUUAGUUAAUUCAGGAAGCUUAUUUUGUAGAAAUUAAAACAUUAAUAAACACAUACAUUUAGAAAUAAAGAACUCGGCUGACCCUUUGACUCUUUGAAACAAGUGGCCUUCCAUGCUGUGAAAGAUUGUAGCCACUCUUUGAGACAUUGGAAUGGUGUCCAUUGCAUUUUAUCAAGUUAACUAUAGGUCAGCCUGGGAAAUCUGAAGUUUCCUUAUCUCCUGUCACUGUGGUUGCUGUGAGAUUUUGUGUCAUCACUGUGCUGUCUUCCCUCUCCACAUGAAGGUGAGCUGUCUGGCUUCACUCUAACGUUUGUGAUUUCACGCCCGACCUGAUUGUUGCCAAGCAAUUCCUUUGUUUGGAGAAUUCUGUGCUUUGUUUAGAAUUUUUUAAAGGUUCUUUUCCUGUGGUCAGAUUUCUGUUUGCUACUGUGUCUUAUGCCUUGUUCUCCUACAGAGAAGAUUCUUUGAAGUUAGUGGAAGCUCAGCUUAAAGGAAGAUCUACUGCUCUGUGUGGUGGAUGACCAUGGGGGAGCGAGAAGGCAGCCUCCGGCUUUUGUUUUGUGUGUGUGUGUGUGUGUGUGUGUGUGUGAUGUACCUGGAAAAAUAACACGACUAGGAUUAAAGAGUAUGUUUGGCAUGUUUAAAAUAAAUUGUAAACCAAACGUAUUUUAAAGAAUUUAUACAAAUUUGUCAUUUAGUAAAAUGAAUGACUAUUGAGUAUUCAUGUCAAUAAAACAACCACUUGAAUACAACAA